GCCUUUGUUGUGCAGUGGUCAACACGCUGGGCGCGUGUUUCAGAGGUCCGUGGUUCGAGUCCCGGCGAAGGCG
Molecule: transfer RNA, 73 nt
Filed under: Stegodyphus mimosarum
Lineage: Eukaryota; Metazoa; Arthropoda; Arachnida; Araneae; Eresidae
Rfam family: tRNA
About the family: Transfer RNA (tRNA) molecules are approximately 80 nucleotides in length. Their secondary structure includes four short double-helical elements and three loops (D, anti-codon, and T loops).
Source: Rfam by way of RNAcentral